AUGAUCACUCAGCUAAGCAUGCCCCUCCUUAAUGUCAAUAUGCCUUGUCGAUUGCUGUUCUGGUUAGUGUUUAUUGGCUUAUUUCACUGUAGAGCCUCUAGCCCUGCUCAUUAUACCUUAUCCAACCCUUCAGUUCCACCACCCACACAUGCGAUGACAUCACCUGGUUUCAAUUAUGUUUCUAGAGACAAUAUCUCUUUCAUCGUCACUCAAUGCCUAGGUUUACCUCCACUGUAUUCACAUCCUACCAUACCUUUGUCUGUACAAUAUACCAUAAAUCUAUUUUAUCACCCCCAGAAACCUGCUCCUUUUACUCUUUGUUCCGGACGUCCUAGAUGUCCAAUUCUCAUGACUUUUAGCCAUACCCUCAACCUACUCCUCCUCUGUUCCUCUGGCUAUGUAGAGGUGAAUCCAGGUCCUGCAGUGCCUAGCUCCACUCCUAUUCCCCAGGCGUUCUCUUUUGAUGACUUCUGUAACCGUAAAAGCCUUGGUUUCAUGCAUGUUAACAUUAGAAGCCUCCUCCCUAAGUUUGUUUUAUUCACUGCUUUAGCACACUCUGCCAACGCGGAUGUCUUAGUCGUGUCUGAAUCCUGGCUGAGGAAGACCACCAAUAACUCUGAAAUCUCCAUCCCUAACUACAACAUUUUCAAACAAGAUAGAACGGCCAAAGGGGGCGGUGUUGCAAUCUACUGCAGAGAUAGCCUGCAGAGUUCUGUCCUACUAUCCAGGUCUGUACCCAAACAAUUUGAACUUCUACUUUUAAAAAUCCACCUCUCUACAAACAAGUCUCUCACCGUUGCCGCCUGCUAUAGACAACCCUCUGCCCCCAGCUGUGCUCUGGAUACCAUAUGGGAACUGAUUGCCCCCCAUCUAUCUUCAGAGCUUGUGCUGCUAGGUGACCUAAACUGUGACAUGCUUAACACACCGGCCAUCCUACAAUCUAAGCUUGAUGCCCUCAAUCUCACACAAAUGACCAAUGAACCUACCAGGUACAACCCCAAAGCCGUAAACACGGGCACCCUCAUAGAUAUCAUCCUAACCAACUUGCCCUCUAAAUACACCUCUGCGGUUUUCAACCAAGAUCUCAGCGAUCACUGCCUUCAGCGAGCAGGCCUUUCUAUUCGACCUGGCCAGGGUAUCCUGGAAGGAUAUCAAUCUCAUCCCGUCAGUAGAGGAUGCCUGGUUAUUUUGUUUAAAUGCCUUCCUCACCAUCUUAAAUAA
Molecule: long non-coding RNA, 1221 nt
Filed under: Oncorhynchus kisutch (coho salmon)
Lineage: Eukaryota; Metazoa; Chordata; Actinopteri; Salmoniformes; Salmonidae
Description: lncRNA (ENSOKIG00005047766.1)
Source: RNAcentral